UUGCAACGGGCAAAGGGAAUCCGACUGUUUAAUUAAAACAAAGCAUUGCGAUGGCCGAGGUCGGUGUAGACGCAAUGUGAUUUCUGCUCAGUGCUCUGAAUGUCAAAGUGAAGAGAUUCAAACAAGCGCGGGUAAACAGCGGGAGUAACUAUGACUCUCUUAAGGUAGCCAAAUGCCUCGUCAUCUAAUUAGUGACGCGCAUGAAUGGAUUAACGAGAUUCCUACUGUCCCUAUCUGCUUCUAGCGAAACCACAGCCGAGGGAACGGGCUCGGCGAAAUCGGCGGGGAAAGAAGACCCUGUUGAGCUUGACUCUAUUCUAAUUUUGUGACGCAAGUUAGGAGGUGUAGCAUAGGUGGGAGACUUCGGUCGCCAAUGAAAUACCACUACUCUUAAUCUUGUUUUACUUAUGGCGUUAGACUGCACGAUCUUUACGGUCUAUUUUAGCAUCAACUUGGAUUAUGGUAUAUGCCUUUCGGGGUAAUGCCGCCUUGGAGCAGCGUGCCUGACAUAUUUAGGAGGGGAGUUUGGCUGGGGCGGCACAUCUUCUACAAGACAACGAAGGUGUCCAAAGAUAAGCUCAGUGAGAACAGAAAUCUCACGUAGCGCAAAAGGGUAAAAGCUUGUUUGAUUUCGAUUUUCAGUGUGAGUUGAAAACGCGAAAGCGUGGCCUAUCGAUCCUUUCACAAUUCGAGGUUUGAAGCGAGA
RNAcentral lists this ribosomal RNA (706 nucleotides) under Corallinales sp. RNAcentral's name for it is "partial 28S ribosomal RNA". It matches the Rfam family "Eukaryotic large subunit ribosomal RNA", at positions 2114 to 2801 of the family's 3401-position model. The record is from RNAcentral. Lineage: Eukaryota; Rhodophyta; Florideophyceae; Corallinales.